RNAcentral lists this microRNA precursor (231 nucleotides) under Sorghum bicolor (sorghum). RNAcentral's name for it is "MIR6217 microRNA precursor family". It matches the Rfam family "MIR6217 microRNA precursor family". Lineage: Eukaryota; Viridiplantae; Streptophyta; Magnoliopsida; Poales; Poaceae. The record is from Rfam by way of RNAcentral.
UGGCUACAAAAUAACUUAUUCUGUAGCCACUGUGAGUUACGAUAAUUACUAUAUUAAUUUACGAGAUUAUAGUAACUCCAUACUAAGUGAUUUACUAUAACGUUAUGGUAAAUAUCUCCAUGUAUUAUAGUAACCCAACUAUUGUAAAUAUGUAUUGCCAUUAUCGUUAAUUAGCAUAUAAAAUUAUCGUAAAUAGAGGAGGCUACAGAAUAACUACUUAUUUUGUAGCUG